RNAcentral lists this ribosomal RNA (1443 nucleotides) under Prillingera fragicola. RNAcentral's name for it is "bacterial SSU rRNA". It matches the Rfam family "Bacterial small subunit ribosomal RNA". Lineage: Eukaryota; Fungi; Basidiomycota; Tremellomycetes; Trichosporonales; Trichosporonaceae. The record is from RNAcentral.
AUUAUGGUACAUCCAGAUGGGUAUCUAGGUAUUUAACACAUGCAAGUUGAAUGAUCAAUUUAUUGAUCAUAGCGUAGGGGUCAGGAAUAGUCAAGAAGAUACCUAAGAGAUCAUAGAAAUAAUGAAUACAACAAAAGGAAUAAUUUCCGCUCUUAGAUUCGCUUGAUUCCCAAUAGGUAGUUGGAAAGAUUAAGCUUAACAAGCCGAUAAUGGGUAAUGUAGGAUGAGAGUCUUAACCAUGACAUUGGAAAUGAAAAAGUCCAAAGUAUCAAACGAUGCGCAGCAGUGAAGAAUAUUGGUCAAUGCACUAAAGUGUGAACCAGUAACCUAGAUUCGGUAAUUCAAGUUAUUGAAGAUCGAUAAAAAAUUUUAAAUGAUGAUUAGAAUUUUAUUAGUCCUGUCCAAUAUUUGUGCCAGCAGAAGCGGUUACACAGAAAGGGCGACCCAUUGGAGAAAUGAAUGGGUGUAUAGGGUACGUAGCCGGUCGAUAUAAAUUCGACUAGAAUUUAAUAGAAGUAAUAAGAAUACCUAGAGUAGAUCUGACAAGUGUUGAUACUAGGGGGAAUGCAAAUAGCGAAGGCAUAUUACUAGAUAAAAAUUGACGGUAAGGUACGAAAGUUAGGGCAUAAAAAGAGAUUAGAUACCUCAGUAUUCCUAACCGUAAACGAUGCAAACUAGAUCUUAGUUAAUGUUAGAAGCUAGGGUCGAAUUUAACGAUUUAAGUUUGCCACCUGUAGAGUAUAGUCGCAUGGCUGAAAUACAAAUAAUUAGACGGCUUUAAAGCAAACGGAGUGGAGCAUGUUAUUUAAUUCGAUUAUCCGCGAAUAAUCUUACCACAUCUUGCAUAAUAAUAAUACCUCAAUUUUUUUCAAUUUUUGCAAAAGAAGAGAAAAGAAAGAGAAUAAACAAACAUAACUAUUAUUAUUACAGGUAUUGCAUGGUUGUCGUCAGUUAGUGCUAGUAAGGUCUAUGGUUAAUUCCGUUAAACUAACGCAAUCCUCGCCACAUAUAAUACAACAUUGUGGUUUUGUUUCCACAAAAAACAAAUGAAAGGGGAGUAUGACAAAUCCUUAUGGUCCUUAUGGUGUGGGCUAUAGACGUGCUACAAGAGUAAUUAACAAAAUGAUGCAAUAUUGAAAAAUGGAGCUAAUCACGAAACAUUACUAAAAUACAGAUUGAGGACUGAAACUCGUCCUCAUGAAGCAGGAAUUCCGAGUAAUCGCAAAUCACUAUGUUGCGGUGAAAGACAGAUCUUUGAAGUGUACUAACUGCUCAUCACAGGACGAAAGGUUUGAGAUAGCAAAGUAGAAUAAGUUAUUAUAAGUAAUAAUUUCAGCUUUAUGGCACCUUAUUUAGGUAAAACAUAAUGGUUUAUUCUACAAACUACAAAAACUGAUUGUUUUGAAGUUGAAACAAGGUAAUCCUAGGGGAACCUGGGGUUGG